UAUGCGGUUUUUUUUGGGAGC
This 21-nucleotide non-coding RNA is filed under the name Caenorhabditis elegans. Lineage: Eukaryota; Metazoa; Nematoda; Chromadorea; Rhabditida; Rhabditidae. The record is from RNAcentral.